This 74-nucleotide transfer RNA is filed under the name Enterobacteriaceae endosymbiont of Plateumaris braccata. Its description in RNAcentral is "tRNA-Asp". It matches the Rfam family "tRNA". From Rfam's summary of the family: Transfer RNA (tRNA) molecules are approximately 80 nucleotides in length. Their secondary structure includes four short double-helical elements and three loops (D, anti-codon, and T loops). Further hydrogen bonds mediate the characteristic L-shaped molecular structure. tRNAs have two regions of fundamental functional importance: the anti-codon, which is responsible for specific mRNA codon recognition, and the 3' end, to which the tRNAs corresponding amino acid is attached (by aminoacyl-tRNA synthetases). tRNAs cope with the degeneracy of the genetic code in two manners: having more than one tRNA (with a specific anti-codon) for a particular amino acid; and 'wobble' base-pairing, i.e. permitting non-standard base-pairing at the 3rd anti-codon position. The record is from RNAcentral. Lineage: Bacteria; Pseudomonadati; Pseudomonadota; Gammaproteobacteria; Enterobacterales; Enterobacteriaceae. RNAcentral also lists the same sequence under 1 other name.
GGUGCGAUAGUUCAGUUGGUUAGAAUACCGGCCUGUCACGUCGGGGGUCACGGGUUCAAAUCCCGUUCGCACCG